This 59-nucleotide transfer RNA is filed under the name Apaloderma vittatum (bar-tailed trogon). It matches the Rfam family "tRNA", at positions 8 to 63 of the family's 71-position model. Rfam says of the family: Transfer RNA (tRNA) molecules are approximately 80 nucleotides in length. Their secondary structure includes four short double-helical elements and three loops (D, anti-codon, and T loops). Lineage: Eukaryota; Metazoa; Chordata; Aves; Trogoniformes; Trogonidae. The record is from Rfam by way of RNAcentral.
UAGCUCAGUCGGUUAGAGCGUGGUGCUGAUAACGCCAAGGUUGCGGGUUUGAUCCCCAU